CGUCAUGGUGGAGCGGGAGCGAAAGCGGCAGGAGGAGGAGGAGGUGGACAAGAUGAUGGAGCAGAAGGUGCGGGAGGAGCAGGAGCGGCGCCGCAGGAAGGAGCUGGAGGAGAGGAUGUCCCUGGAGGAGACCCGGGAGCAGCUGCUGAAGCUGCAGGAGAAGUUGGGGGCUCUGCAGGAGGAGAAGCACCAACUGUUCCUGCAGCUCAAGAAGGUUCUGCACGAGGAGGAGAA
Molecule: long non-coding RNA, 234 nt
Organism: Neopelma chrysocephalum (saffron-crested tyrant-manakin)
Lineage: Eukaryota; Metazoa; Chordata; Aves; Passeriformes; Pipridae
Exons: 3
Source: RefSeq, a predicted model, not a curated record